RNAcentral lists this microRNA precursor (102 nucleotides) under Otolemur garnettii (small-eared galago). Its description in RNAcentral is "miRNA (ENSOGAG00000017445.1)". The record is from RNAcentral. Lineage: Eukaryota; Metazoa; Chordata; Mammalia; Primates; Galagidae.
AGACUGGUUUUAAUAACAAUGCAUUAUAAAACCUUCAGAAGGAAAGAAACCAUUUGUUUCUUUUUGUGUGGCAAUUUUAAACUAUUAGUUUUUAAAAUCAGU